RNAcentral lists this ribosomal RNA (270 nucleotides) under uncultured bacterium. RNAcentral describes it as "partial 16S ribosomal RNA". It matches the Rfam family "Bacterial small subunit ribosomal RNA", at positions 336 to 603 of the family's 1533-position model. The record is from RNAcentral.
UUCCUACGGGACGCAGCAGUGAGGAAUAUUGGUCAAUGGGAGAGAUCCUGAACCAGCCAAGCCGCGUGAGGGAAGACGGCCCUAUGGGUUGUAAACCUCUUUUGUCGGAGAACAAAACCCGGGACGUGUCCCGGACUGCGUGUAUCCGAAGAAAAAGCAUCGGCUAACUCCGUGCCAGCAGCCGCGGUAAUACGUAGGGGGCAAGCGUUAUCCGGAUUCACUGGGCGUAAAGGGAGCGCAGGCGGCACGGCAAGUCUGGUGUGAAAACCC